This 259-nucleotide long non-coding RNA is filed under the name Elaeis guineensis (African oil palm). RNAcentral describes it as "long non-coding RNA (EGUI_LNC067393)". The record is from RNAcentral. Lineage: Eukaryota; Viridiplantae; Streptophyta; Magnoliopsida; Arecales; Arecaceae.
CUUCUUCCGUCAUACUUCGUAGAAUGAACCAACUUUUCUCCUUCUUCUUCUUGGGUCCUUAAAGCUAUAUAAUAUUUUUUUCUAUCUUUUUCUACUUUUUUCACUAAAUUUUUUUGCUCUCAAGAUUUAUUCCCGGACCUUCUAUUUAUAGAUAAUUUUUUCAUAUUUUUUUGGUAGGAAAAGGAGUCCUAAAAUCCUUAGAAAUCAUAUAAAACCCUUGACAAUUAUUUCUGAUCAUCAGAUUAGCUUCGAACCACUC